UACAGAGGGUGCGAGCGUUAAUCGGAAUUACUGGGCGUAAAGCGUGCGUAGACGGCUAUCUAAGUCGGGUGUGAAAGCCCCGGGCUCAACCUGGGAAUUGCAUUCGAGACUGAAUAGCUAGGGUACGGUAGAGGGAAGUGGAAUUUCCGGUGUAGCGGUGAAAUGCGUAGAUAUCGGAAGGAACAUCAGUGGCGAAGGCGACUAACUGGACAUGUAUUGACGCUGAGGUGCGAAAGCGUGGGGAGCAAACAGG
This 253-nucleotide ribosomal RNA is filed under the name uncultured bacterium. RNAcentral describes it as "partial 16S ribosomal RNA". It matches the Rfam family "Bacterial small subunit ribosomal RNA", at positions 524 to 776 of the family's 1533-position model. The record is from RNAcentral.